Molecule: ribosomal RNA, 469 nt
Filed under: Agrobacterium tumefaciens
Lineage: Bacteria; Pseudomonadati; Pseudomonadota; Alphaproteobacteria; Hyphomicrobiales; Rhizobiaceae
Also listed under: 1 other name
Description: bacterial SSU rRNA
Rfam family: Bacterial small subunit ribosomal RNA
Source: RNAcentral
UGGAGAGUUUGAUCCUGGCUCAGAACGAACGCUGGCGGCAGGCUUAACACAUGCAAGUCGAACGCCCCGCAAGGGGAGUGGCAGACGGGUGAGUAACGCGUGGGAAUCUACCCAUCUCUGCGGAAUAGCUCUGGGAAACUGGAAUUAAUACCGCAUACGCCCUACGGGGGAAAGAUUUAUCGGGGAUGGAUGAGCCCGCGUUGGAUUAGCUAGUUGGUGGGGUAAAGGCCUACCAAGGCGACGAUCCAUAGCUGGUCUGAGAGGAUGAUCAGCCACAUUGGGACUGAGACACGGCCCAAACUCCUACGGGAGGCAGCAGUGGGGAAUAUUGGACAAUGGGCGCAAGCCUGAUCCAGCCAUGCCGCGUGAGUGAUGAAGGCCUUAGGGUUGUAAAGCUCUUUCACCGAUGAAGAUAAUGACGGUAGUCGGAGAAGAAGCCCCGGCUAACUUCGUGCCAGCAGCCGCGGUA